CGGAAAUGCUGUGGAGAAUUACAUAGUUAAUGACCCUAUUCAUGUGGUAUUGCUACAAUAUUUUAUCGAGCGACAAUGUUUGUUCAAGUGCAUAAGGCAGAUCUUAAUGCAUGCUUUAUAUUUAGGGAAUAGCUUGAAAGAAGGGAGUCUGAUUAGGGAGGAAGCACUAAAGAUGAU
Molecule: long non-coding RNA, 177 nt
Organism: Hibiscus syriacus
Lineage: Eukaryota; Viridiplantae; Streptophyta; Magnoliopsida; Malvales; Malvaceae
Exons: 3
Source: RefSeq, a predicted model, not a curated record